CCUGAACAGAUUCACAGAGACGAGCUUCGGAGAUCUUUCCAGAUAAGCGCUUUAUAUAUAUCUAAAACAGCGUCAAACCACAUGUACGACUCCUAAUCAGGUGAUCUUAAUGAAAUUCGCAAAGGAAAUGCGAAAAUACUGUAGGUCACCAACAACAAGAACAAAGCGCAAGAUUGGAAGAUAAGUUCGAGUGACUCGCCUAGUGACUGGACUUAUAAGCAUAUUGUGCAGCAAAGUGCAGCAGUACAUUUCCCUGCUGGUGUGUCGACGUACCAGAUGGCUUCACUGUUCUGCGUUGUUCUCUUGUUCUCUCCUUGCUCUUGCUUCUGAGCGUUCAGGUGCUGUCGAGAUAACGGUGGCUUCACCCCACUGUGACCCCCGGGUCGACCGACGCUUCGAAGGGUGCCCUGAAGGGUACUGCUGCGUGAGGGACGAGUAUGUCCCCUCCUUCGUUUACUGCAAGCGCCUGGGCCACGUAGACGACAACUGCACCACCCGUGACUCUGAGUCUGGGUGUCCGUGUUUGGCCGGUCUGACCUGUCACCCCAACGCGCAGAGCGCCACCUUUGUGUCGAUGUACGGUCGCUGCCACAAUACAACGGACGUCGUCCAUUCAGUCUAAGGAAACCUUCCAGUCGAGCUUAUACCAACAUUCCUUCUAUGUGGUACCAAGACUGAAAUUCACUCCAUACAGGUCCUCUGUAUCAAAGUCCUAAUCAGGGUGACAAGAAAUAAAUCUAUGAAUGCGGCAUGUAACAUUUACUGGGUUGGGGUUAAAGGUAGGGUUAAGGGACAGUUUUGUAAAGCAUUUUAUUAACUAAAAGAAGCACUGUUGUAUAUAAUAUGUAGCUCUCGAUACAAUCACUAUGACUUAUAGAGGCUUAGUCUAAACUGCCACAACAGUUAGUCAAAAGACACGAGACCUUGUAUGGGAUGGAUUCCCCGUCGGCGCCCCUUAGAGACCCUUGUUCAUGAACCUGAGAAAUCGACCUGCCAACGGACUGAGACCUCAAUCCUAACAUCAUUUAAACACAGUGGGAUGGUGGUAUAUCAUGUGGCAGCCCCCUUGUAAUGUGGUAGAUAAUGUAGCUUUUGCAGUAUAUAUGUAUAGAGCAAAAUGUUUAAUUUUCAUUUCAUUUCGGAUUCAAGAAAUAGCUUCAAUGGUGAGGGUCUUAACCUUAAACUGUAAAUGUACUUCAUCAUUCAACUGCUCAGAUGGCAAGAUGACGCUUAGAACAACCAAAUUUCUUCAGAUUUAAAGAUUAGUUUGUAGAACACAAAGGAAUUCUAUUGUAAUUAUCUUUCUUCUCUUCAUUUAUCAGCUGUUUCGGUUUUCAGUGUUUGAUUUGAAUCUUACAAAGUGCUUUAAUUGAUUAGCUUUAUUUUGUAUUAUAAGAACGCAUGUUCGACAUUUUGCAACAAAAAUAAAAACAACUGAAGUUGAAUUUUUUCAUUCAUUGAUUUUUGUGAGCGAUGCCAUAUUUUAUUAUUGUGGGCUGCUGCGCUGAAGCAGUUAAUUUGUUUGUGAACUGUAUAAAAUAAAGAAUCUUUGUUCAAGGAAUAAAAUUAUUUGCUUCAUUUCA
This 1583-nucleotide unclassified non-coding RNA is filed under the name Pomacea canaliculata. RNAcentral's name for it is "uncharacterized LOC112567187, transcript variant X2". The record is from RNAcentral. Lineage: Eukaryota; Metazoa; Mollusca; Gastropoda; Architaenioglossa; Ampullariidae.